CACGUAGUUAGCCGUGGCUUUCUGGUUAGGUACCGUCAAGGUACCGCCCUAUUCGAACGGCACUUGUUCUUCCCUAACAACAGAGCUUUACGAUCCGGAAACCUUCAUCACUCACGCGGCGUUGCUCCGUCAGACUUUCGUCCAUUGCGGAAGAUUCCCUA
This 161-nucleotide ribosomal RNA is filed under the name uncultured bacterium. Its description in RNAcentral is "partial 16S ribosomal RNA". The record is from RNAcentral.